Molecule: transfer RNA, 74 nt
Filed under: Enterococcus phage EH802P1
Lineage: Duplodnaviria; Heunggongvirae; Uroviricota; Caudoviricetes
Also listed under: 1 other name
Description: tRNA-Trp
Rfam family: tRNA
About the family: Transfer RNA (tRNA) molecules are approximately 80 nucleotides in length. Their secondary structure includes four short double-helical elements and three loops (D, anti-codon, and T loops).
Source: RNAcentral
UAGGCUGUUGGUGUAGUGGUAACACAGGUGGUCUCCAAAACCUCUGACGGGGGUUCAAUUCCCUCACAGCCUGU